UACGAGGGGGGCGAGCGUUGUUCGGAAUCACUGGGCGUAAAGCGUGCGUAGGCUGCUUUGCAAGUCGGGAGUGAAAGCCCAAGGCUCAACCUUGGAAUUGCUUUCGAAACUGCAAGGCUCGAAUUCGGGAGAGGAUAGCGGAAUUGUCAGUGUAGCAGUGAAAUGCGUAGAUAUUGACAGGAACACCAGUGGCGUAAGCGGCUAUCUGGACCGACAUUGACGCUGAGGCACGAAAGCGUGGGGAUCAAACAGG
RNAcentral lists this ribosomal RNA (253 nucleotides) under uncultured bacterium. RNAcentral describes it as "partial 16S ribosomal RNA". It matches the Rfam family "Bacterial small subunit ribosomal RNA", at positions 524 to 776 of the family's 1533-position model. The record is from RNAcentral.